UCUGGUACCUUCCACAUCAACGCAUUCACAAACCGAGUGAAGCGAGACUUUCGGACUCUUUAAGGAUACUCUUGAGGGAAAAUGGAUCCUUGCGAUUGCGCCAAGACUGGAACUUGCAACUGUGGUGCCACCUGCAAGUGCACUAAUUGCCAGUGUA
Molecule: long non-coding RNA, 157 nt
Organism: Sinocyclocheilus anshuiensis
Lineage: Eukaryota; Metazoa; Chordata; Actinopteri; Cypriniformes; Cyprinidae
Exons: 2
Source: RefSeq, a predicted model, not a curated record